CAGGACGAACGCUGGCGGCGUGCAUAACACAUGCAAGUCGAACGGAGUAUUACAAAGAAAUCUUCGGAUGGAAUUGUAAACUACUUAGUGGCGGAUGGGUGAGUAACGCGUGAGGAACCUGCCUUGCACAAGGGGAUAGCCUCGGGAAACCGGGAUUAAUACCCUAUGAUACUUUAAACUCCCAUGAGUUUAAAGUCAAAGCGAUUAAGCGGUGUAAGAUGGCCUCGCGUCCCAUUAGCUAGUUGGUAAGGUAACGGCUUACCAAGGCAACGAUGGGUAGCCGGCUUGAGAGAGUGAACGGCCACACUGGAACUGAGACACGGUCCAGACUCCUACGGGAGGCAGCAGUGGGGAAUAUUGCACAAUGGAGGGAACUCCUGAUGCAGCGACGCCGCGUGAGCGAUGAAGGCUUUCGGGUCGUAAAGCUCUGUCCUAGGGGACGAUAAUGACGGUACCCUAGGAGGAAGCCCCGGCUAACUACGUGCCAGCCGCGGC
This 495-nucleotide ribosomal RNA is filed under the name uncultured bacterium. RNAcentral describes it as "bacterial SSU rRNA". It matches the Rfam family "Bacterial small subunit ribosomal RNA", at positions 25 to 518 of the family's 1533-position model. The record is from RNAcentral.